Molecule: long non-coding RNA, 372 nt
Filed under: Pongo abelii (Sumatran orangutan)
Lineage: Eukaryota; Metazoa; Chordata; Mammalia; Primates; Hominidae
Description: lincRNA
Source: RNAcentral
GCUCACUCCUCAGCUGCAGGAGACAGACGUGUGGAGUCCCAGCAGAGGCCAACCUGUGUCUCUUCAUCUCCCUGGGAAAGGUGCCCCCGAGGUGAAUGAGAUGGCCUGGUGGAAAGCCUGGGAGAAUAAAUAGACUAGGUUGAAUCCAUACGAUGGAAUGUUAGCAGACAAUAAAAAGAAAAUGAACUAUUGAUACCCCCUACUACACAGCAGAAGCUCUGAAUUGUGUUCCUGAAUGAAAGAAGUCAGAUGGUGUCAGAGCGGAUCUGAAGUAGAGCUUCUAACGACUCCCAGGAGUGCUGAGUGACCGAAGCCAGGUACCUGCAGGACCUAUUUGUGUCCGUUGAUCUCUCAGAGCAGUUGGAGGUCAUG